AUUGGACGCUGGCGGCGUGCUUUACACAUGCAAGUCGAACGGCAGCAUGGUUACUUUCGGGUAACUGAUGGCGAGUGGCGGACGGGUGAGUAAUGCAUCGGGACAUGUCUAUUUGAGGGGGAUAACUCAUCGAAAGAUGAGCUAAUACCGCAUACUGUCUGAGGACGAAAGCUGGGGACCGGCAACGGCCUGGCGUAAAUAGGCUGCCCGAUGUCCGAUUAGCUAGUUGGUGAAGUAAAGGUUUACCAAGGCGAUGAUCGGUAGCUGUUCUGAGAGGAAGAUCAGCCACACUGGGACUGAGACACGGCCCAGACUCCUACGGGAGGCAGCAGUGGGGAAUAUUGGACAAUGGGGGCAACCCUGAUCCAGCAACGCCGCGUGAAUGAAGAAGGCCUUAGGGUUGUAAAGUUCUUUUGUCUGAGAGCAAAGUUCUGCUGAGAAUAUCGGUGGGACGUGAGAGUAUCAGAAGAAUAAGCACCAGCUAACUACGUGCCAGCCGCCGCAGUAA
This 508-nucleotide ribosomal RNA is filed under the name uncultured bacterium. RNAcentral describes it as "partial 16S ribosomal RNA". It matches the Rfam family "Bacterial small subunit ribosomal RNA", at positions 30 to 523 of the family's 1533-position model. The record is from RNAcentral.